RNAcentral lists this long non-coding RNA (1344 nucleotides) under Ursus maritimus (polar bear). Its description in RNAcentral is "lncRNA (ENSUMAG00000006881.1)". The record is from RNAcentral. Lineage: Eukaryota; Metazoa; Chordata; Mammalia; Carnivora; Ursidae.
GCUUUCUAUCCCGUGCCGUGGAUGUGGCCUCCUGGGGGCCCGUCUGUGCCAAGUGGACCUCCUCCCCAAGUCCAGUCUCACAGAGACGACAGAUGGAAAACCACAGUUUAGAAUAAUAAGCCUGAUGAGGAGAAAGCCUGGAAAUGGGGCGGCCUCCCUCUGCCUGGACAAUCGGGGAAGACUGAGGAAGGGAAAGAUCCGUGCCCGUAACGGCCCCUGGAGCCCAGGCUCAGGGCUGCUGCAGGUACUGGAGCACCAUCUCUGAGAUCUGCUCGAAGCUGAACGUGCACUCUGUGAGUAGCUGGCAACACCCUGGGUGUGGGCAGGCACGGCCUGGCAGUCUCAGGCCGGAGGCACUCAUGGUUCUCUCUCUUUUCGCCCUGCAGACACCUGAAGACAUGAAUCUGCGGCUGGAGCUGCAGAAUGAUAGCCUUCUGAUGGCUAACCUGGCUGCCUUCCGGAACAUCUCAAAGGAGAUCGUCAGUGCUUCUAAUGAGUCUUUAUUCAUCAGUAAAAAUCUGGAGGAUCUGGAGGUGUGUGAGGUUGGGGAGAGUCUCUCUGGCACUGGGUCUCCAGGACCCCAAAGGAGGCCACUCCUGGUGGGAGUACAUGGCCUUUUCUUGCCCUUUUCUCAAAGAGCAGCAGCAUUUUCACCCCCACCCCCGAGUUCCUACCCCCUCUCCUGCCACCUGCCCCUCCAUGGCUGGGGACAGAGCUGCCACCUAGUCCCUUCUUGGGUAUAGUAACUGGCAGGGGGACACAGAGGCCCUUCAGCUCCUAGUGAGACCCCUGUUGCCUUCCAGGCUUUCCCCAAAGUCCUGACUAACUGACUCUUCUUGUCUCUGGUCCACAGAAAUUCCUGCAAACCUUGCCCAUGCCCAUAUCCCAGGUAAGCUGCCCAGACUGAGCAUAGAACCUGCCACAUCCCUCUACCUCCUUCUCACCUGACCCAAAAUUUUCAUUUCUUCAAAGAGAGAAGUGUACAUCGAAGCAGAAGAUUUUAAUGAGUUCUCGGGGAAGCUGAAAGUCUUUCUGGAAGCCCUGGAUGAGUUCCUGUUGGGCUUACUGAAGUGCCCAGAAACUUUCAAAGCCUCGUGUAGAAAAUCUUAGUCCAGGCCUUUGCAUGCCCAGGGCUCUGAGUUGGGUCUCCAGCCCUCCUCCUUGAUACUCCAGUGAAAGCUCCACUCUGUCACAGAUCACAUUGACAAUCCUAUUUAUGUAACAAUUUAUUUAUUGUCCUCCCUAUUAUGGAGUUAUUUAUUUUAAUAAUGGAGCCCUCUUAGGAGCCUCUGAGCAAAGCUCAGAGAGGAUGUGAAGCCAUUUUCAUUUGUACCUCAGAUUUCA